This is a long non-coding RNA of Dioscorea cayenensis subsp. rotundata (Guinea yam), 673 nucleotides long. RefSeq lists it as uncharacterized. Lineage: Eukaryota; Viridiplantae; Streptophyta; Magnoliopsida; Dioscoreales; Dioscoreaceae. The transcript has 3 exons. The record is from RefSeq and is a predicted model, not a curated record.
CUCAUCCUUUCCUACUCUCUUCCUCUACCAUUCUUGGAAGUUUGAGGGCUGAUUUUGAUGGCAUUCUUGGGCUUGUUCUUGGACCAUAGAGUUUGAUCAUCUCUUGACUCAAGGAGAUGAAACUUCAAGCAAGGGAAAGGAGCCGGUGGAGAAGUAACACUGGAGGUUUUUAGCUUGCCAAGUUUGGCAUGGAGAAGCCGUGGAAGACACGAAGAUAUGAUUUGGGCAAAAAAAGAGAAGAAAACCAAGUCAUAAUACUGUAGCAUAUUUUACUUUAGUUGGAGUAACGUAGCAAGAUUACUGCAGCAACCACUGUAGCACCUGUAGAAUUUUCGAGUCGGGAAUUGAUCUAGGCCAUACGACCUCAAUGCAACCCGGGAUUGACCCCGGGAUUGAUACUAUAGCCAAAGAAGAGAAGAAUUUGCUUGAAGGCAUACUGCCUCAAUGAGGCCAUGAUAGACCCUGAGAUUGACCCCGGGAUACAUGGUUUUGGGGCAUGAUAAAAGGGCACUUCUAGGGCAAAGCAAAGGGGCUUUUCCUUGGCCGUUUGGGCCACAGCCACCACACUUUCUUGAGGCUUUCCGGCCACCUUCCGGUGAUGAUCCUUGUGGGGAACGAGCACACUUCAUCACCAAGAGGGAGAGGAGCAAAGGAGAAGGAGUUGGAGUGAAGU